Molecule: long non-coding RNA, 1576 nt
Organism: Mangifera indica (mango)
Lineage: Eukaryota; Viridiplantae; Streptophyta; Magnoliopsida; Sapindales; Anacardiaceae
Exons: 3
Source: RefSeq, a predicted model, not a curated record
UGAAGUUUCCUCUAAUUUUUUAACUUCUUCGUCAACCCUGAGUAUUACUCUAUACCUUGCCUCAACUUUUUCAAUUUCUUCAAAAUAUUAAGGAACUUCAUCAAAUUUCAAAGUGAUUCUAAGAGAUUCAUCCUCUGUCGGAUUAUGAAUUGUUCUAAAUGAAUUUCGAAGAGAAUAUAACCGAUAUGUAUAAGAGGUUCUUAAACUUGAUAAAUGAUCUUAGAGGACUUGGAAAAAAGUUUGAGAUCAUUGAGCUUAUGAAGAAGAUUCUUUAAUCGUUGUUGGAAUCAUAGAGCAUGAAAGUGACCGCUAUCGAAGAAUCAAAAGACUUGAGCAAAAUGGGCAUGGAUGAACUCUUUGGAAGCCUAUUGGCAUUUGAGAUGAAGAAAAAGCCCAAGGAAGAGGAGACUAAGACAAAAAAGAACAUGUAAGUCUUCUUACAAGGAGAUUUAACAAAUUACUUUCAAGAAGUGAUGAUGAAAUUACAUGCUAUGAAUGCAAGAGGUCCAGUCACAUCCAACAAAAGUGACCUUAAAUCAUGAAGAGGAGAAAGAAGAAGAAAUUCAAAAAGAAAGUGUUUGCAUCUACUUGGAGCUGGAGUGAUAAUUCUAGUGAUGAAAGUGAGUCAAAGCAUGAGAGAGCCGAUCUAUGCUUCAUGGCCAUGAAUGAAUCAGGGGAAAAAGGUAACAACUCUAACUCUUACUCUUUUAAUCAAUUGCAAGAAGUAUUUGAUUGUUUAAUCGAUGAAUAUAAAUGCAUGUGUAAAAAUAAAUCUGUGAGAAAGCAAUUGACAUGCAUUAAGAAUGAUUAUGAAAAUUUCAUUAGUGAGCAUGCUAAAAUAAAGAAAGAACUUGACUUAGUUAAAAAUAAAAAGAUUUUAACAUCAAAUGAGUUGAACAAACUUAGAAGUGAAAAUGAUGCAUUACAUGUGAAAAUAUCUAAUGCAAGUGAGAUUUUGGAUAAAUUCAAAAUAGGCACAAAAAGUUAGAUGAGAUGCUUGCAUCCCAAAGAUGUGAAUUAAAUAAGGAAGGCCUAGAAUGUAAUAGAAAUAAUCUUUUUGUUAAAAUAUAUAGGCAAUUGAAAAUAAUCAUUUAUUGUAAUUAAAAUGCAAGUUUUGUGCCUUUAUUGGUUAUAUUGUCAGAAGAUAUUCAAUUAGGAAUGACAAAUCAUUUAAAGUAAAAAGGGUUUGGGUUCCUAAAGAGAUAUUGAAGACUAACCUUGAUGGACCCAAAACCAUUUGGCCACCAAAGAAAACUUGAAUUUCUUUGUAGGUGUGUCUUAUAGCAUUGGAAUAGUUAUGCAAGGAACAAAUCUGGAUAAUGGAGAUAGGAGCACCAAAGCAUUUUGAAAAAUAAAAUUUUUCAAUUUGAGAGCUUAGAAUGUCAAGACAGACUCAAGAAAAUCCACCAAAGUGGUUAGAGGUCAUUACCAUAGCAAAUGAUCAGAGGACUGUUUAAAUUCUCAGCUUUUUCAUAACAAACAGGGAGGAUGUUAGAAACAGUGCAGUAUUGGUUUUCUUCAAUAGUGUGACGGAUAAUAAAACAAGGGCCAAAAGACUUAUUCCCACCCAAGGUAU